GGUCGUGAGCCCUGACAUCGUAACGUGGAGGUUUCUCAUGGGUGAACACAAAGGUCGAUGACGAAAGGUCACGUGACAGCGACCACCGACCAGCGACCAGACCCCCGCCUUCCGCCACUCGUCUAUAUGUAUCGGUGCUCCGAGAGUUCACAAAACAGAACCAGAUUCCUUCCGUCGCUACCACGUCGAAAAGGGCUUUGAUAUGGAAAAACGUGGUGGCAGUGGAGGAAGCCAAAUCUUUGAAAAUUUGGGCACUUUUUUGCGAAAAUGCAUUUUUUCUGUUCUUUCUGUUGGUCCCAUCCCUAACCACAUUGCCUUUAUCAUGGAUGGGAACCGCAGAUUUGCCAAGAAGCAGAAUUUGAUAGAAGGGGCUGGUCAUAAGGUUGGGUACUUAGCUCUUAUGUCCAUGCUCAGGUACUCAUAUGAGUUGGGCGUGAAAUAUGUAACAAUUUAUGCCUUCAGCAUUGAAAAUUUUAAACGACGUCCUGAAGAAGUUCAAUCUGUGAUGGAUCUGAUGCAAGAAAAGAUUGAGCAGUUAAUUAAUGAAGAGAGCAUUUUGAACCACUUUGGAGUUAGGGUUCAUUUUAUAGGGAAUCUGAAACUCUUGAGUGCACCGGUCAGGUUGGCAGCAGAGCGGGCUAUGCUGGUCACUGCCUGUAACUCCAAGGCGGUGCUUUCAAUUUGUGUUGCCUAUACUUCCACCAAUGAGAUUAUGCAUGCUGUUGAAGAAUCUUGUGUAAAAAAAUGGGAUGAGAUAAGAGAACUAAAGGCAAGUGGAGUUGAUUGUGGUUUAACUAAACUUGAAGGAUAUGAAAAGGGUGAAGCACAGGACCUUAUAAAUUUAACAGAUAUUGAGAAGCAUUUGUAUAUGGCAGUUGCACCUGAUCCUGAUAUAUUAAUUCGCACUUCUGGUGAAACCCGCUUGAGCAAUUUUCUACUCUGGCAGAGUCAGUACUGUUAUUUGUACUCUCCAUCUGUGCUUUGGCCAGAGAUUGGUUUUUGGCAUUUGCUUUGGGCAGUUUUGAACUUUCAGCGCAAUCACUUUUAUUUGGAGAAAAAAAAGAAACAACUAUAAGUCUUGCAAAUGGAUGGCAGGGCAGUUUUCACCUCUGGACUCUAAUAUGACUGUAUUGGUUCAUUGGCUCUCUCUUUGUUCUUGAUUUAUUCUCUGUGACAAAAGCUGAUUGCAACAUGGAAGGACUGUUCCUAGUGCUGCUACACUGGAUUCUUUGGCUGAGAAUGCAUCAAGGGGCUACAUCAUAAGGAUAUUUUGUCCAUUGCAGUGGCCAAGUGUUUGUUGGGUGAUACUGUUGCAGAUCAAGAUAUGAUAAGUGGAGCUGACCACCUCAACUUGUUCCUGAAGAUGCAAGAGCUGAAGUAUCCUAAAUCCCCAAUGAAGAGGACUAUAGAUCAAUACGCUAAAGAUAGGCAUUACUAAAAGAUGGUCUUUUCUCACUAGCCAAUAUACUAUGUUUGACUUCAACAUAUUUGCAAUCAAUGAUAGAGAGAAAUUAACAACCUGAAACUCUUCUCUUUGCCUUUUCUAAAUUUCUAUAUCAGUAAACAAUAGUUAAUAGCAAUUUAGUUUCUUCCACAUGCAUAAUGCCCAAAGAUUUCUUGUCUUACUUUGUCUUAAAAAUAUCCUUGCAGCUUACAGAUUUGGAAAAAAUAUAUAUAUUUUUUCUUGGAGUAUGUCACUCUAACUGCAUCUCAUAUCUCCUUUAUAGUUUCUAGAAGCAUGCAAUUGACACCAACAGAGGAUUCCAUACUCUUCCAUAACCAUAUUAUUAUACUGAAAUGAUCGUAUUACUCAUCAUAACUCCUUGAUUUGUGGAAAACAAUUAUCUUCAACAGUAUGCUUUAGUUUACUCUGUCUCAAUAUACACCCUCAGGUCCUUCAUAGCUUUAGCCCACAAUAAAUAUCUAAGUGUUUUACAACUCAACUGGACUACGGUUUGCGCUUCAAAAGUUUGAGAGUGUUGGUUUUUUCUGUGUUUUUAGUUUUCUUUAGUUGAGUGUUUUCUCUUUUGUUCAGUUUUUAUUUUGUGGGAAGGACCUCUCAUCCUUCUUUUGGUUUCUUCUCUUUCUCUUGUAUCUCUUCUUUUUCUUGUAUUUUUUCCUCUAUUAAUAUACUUUUCUUCGUUUCUGAUAAAAAAAAAAAAAAUAUACACCCUCAGGUCCUUCAUAGCUUUAGCCCACAAUAAAUAAUUAGGUCUCUUUUCUGUCACUAAUGUGAUUUGAAUACCAAUACCAUCUCCAAAUUUGUGAUCACCGAAUGCCAUAAUUUAACUAUUGAAGGGAGAAAAUAAGAACUACAACACUUAUCUUUAAAGCAAAGGGAUGUUAGUCAACUUCAACAUUGGCAGGAACUUGCAUUAUAAUUGCAUAACAUGACAUGGGUGAUACACAUCUUACACACCAACAAUCAUAGAGAAGGAUUGUUGUACUACAGACAUAAGAAUAGUACUUGCAUAACAUGGGCACAAGGAGUGGCAUAACACUUGGAUCAGAUACUUUCAGGUGUGGGAUACUAUAGUGGUACUAUGACUUGGGUACUAUAGUGGGGUUACAGCAACAUCAGUACUGUAGUCAAUGUUUUAAAAGGCUAUUAAGGCGUAUGCCUUGAGGCUUAUGUUUUAAGGCUUUGUGAAUUAGUUUUAAGGCUAAGUCUCAAUUAGGGUAUUUGAGUCUUAAAUCUCGCCUGAUUAAGGUUUAUAACCUUAAGGCUAUAUUGAGGUUUAAGCCACAAAUAUUUAAAGGGUUUUCAUGGGUUUGGGGCCUUUCUGGACUUUUGGAAUAUUAUACAAGGCUUAAGCCUAAUUUAAUGAGCUUAAAUUGGUUUCAUACUUUUGUGGGCUUUUAAUAUAGAUUUUAUAAGUUGUCUUAUUCUGUUAUAAAAUAGCACAUAUGUGUGUGUAUGUGUGUAUUGUUUGCUGAAUACCAUAACCCUAGCUAAAUAAAACUCUUACUAAUAAUCCUUUAACAUUCCCCUUUUCUUUUCUUUGGUAUUUCUUGUGUUUGUUAUAUGCUUCCUAUGUACUAGGGUUUGACCCCCUAUCAAUGCUUUUUUAUAUUUUGUGUUUGCCUAUCAAAAGAAGUGUGAAUGCAAUCUCAUUUUCCUUUUUCUUCUCUUUUUCUUCAUACAGGACUUUAAAUUAUUUUAAUUGUUGAUACUGUUAUUCCACUUUAAGCAAUCAAUGGAGGUCAACAGAGAGUUCCACAUUAUGUCAAAAGAAGCUAAUUCAAUUUGUACUAGAAGAAUGUGCAUGGCUCCCUCAGUUUUUAAAGUGGCACAAGAACAAUCAUAUGCUGAUUCUAUGGAAGGAAUUGCUUCUCAUGUAAUUUCUUGCUCUGGCACUUUGAUUGGGCUUGUGGUAAAUUGGUCAAUCACUGGAUGGAAGAUUGGUCUUGAUUUUCAGGCUUAAGUUAUGUAUAUUAGUGAGAUAAAGAGCCAAGGAUUAUCUUCUUCCAAGAUCUAUAUAAAAAUCAGAACGGACAUGGUUGGAAAGGCUUUCCUCAUUGAAUUUUUUUUUUUCAUUUUUUUUGUUUAUUUAUUUUAUUAUCAUUGUGGUGUUCUGGGGCAGGGAUAUGCUAAAUGUAAAAUAUGCGAAAUGUACAUUUAUUUUCCCUUAUUAUAUUUCAGUGGCAUGAAUUUAUUUCUGGUCA
Vitis vinifera (wine grape) is the source of this 3666-nucleotide RNA transcript. It is a transcript of the gene named ethylene-responsive transcription factor ERF098, with no coding region annotated. Lineage: Eukaryota; Viridiplantae; Streptophyta; Magnoliopsida; Vitales; Vitaceae. The transcript has 5 exons. The record is from RefSeq and is a predicted model, not a curated record.